GCACUGCUGAGGAGUCCCAUAAUAGGACGAAACAGCUGUCCAGUGC
This is a non-coding RNA of Schistosoma mansoni, 46 nucleotides long. NCBI's taxonomy places the organism in Eukaryota, Metazoa, Platyhelminthes, Trematoda, Strigeidida, Schistosomatidae. The record is from Rfam.